This is a non-coding RNA of Punica granatum (pomegranate), 996 nucleotides long. The record is from RefSeq and is a predicted model, not a curated record. Lineage: Eukaryota; Viridiplantae; Streptophyta; Magnoliopsida; Myrtales; Lythraceae.
UCUCAGACUCAACUCUGUUCGACUGUUCCCGUUCCACUGUUUGUUCGAAAACCUAAUUCCUAAAAUCUCCAGGCUCUAGCUGCUCUCUCUGCUCUCGAGUCUCUACUCUGACUCUCCGAGAGCUCCCCAAUCCAGUCCUUUCCAUCUCCAACUCUCCUUCAAGCUGUCUUUCCUGGUUCCUGGAAUAGUAGUUGCACGACGAAAAUGCCUCUAGAGCUAUAUCGGGAAGAUAAUGCAAACAGGGAUGUUCAGUCUUAUGAGUCUGUUACCUAUGAUGGUGUGGAGUACUGUCUCCAUGAUUGUGUAAUCUUUUAUCAAGCUGGAGAAGCUGAAACCUAUAUAGGUAAAAUUGUUAAGACUAUUGAGACAAAUAACCGCGGGAAACAAUUGGGGGUUGUAUGGUUCUUUCGACCAUCAGAAAUCCUGAAAUUAUCUCGGAGAUUAUGAUCCUCGAUGGAAUGAGAUAUUCUUAGCUUCUGGUGGGGUGAAGGCCUCUCAAACACCAAUUUUCUGUUAAUUGAGUAUGCUAAGUUGAUCUCAAUUACGUUCCUGUUCCCCUCGAAACAUUUUUAAGUACAGUGGUUACUGAUGUUCUUCUUCUAUGAUGUAUCAGGAAGCAGUCCGGGGGAAAUGCUCUGUUGUAUGCAUUUCCAAGGACCACAGAACUCCUCUUCCAUCAAAAGCUUAAUUUAGUUUUGAGGAUGGAUUGAUAGAUUGAUGAGACAUUAUUUUUUAUUGUUGUGGGUUAAUCUAAAUCUAUGUCGAUAUUAUAUUUGUCGUGAUUACUGAUUUUUAUAGGUUCCAACAGGGUACCCGAAACCUGUGGUAUAAUACAGGUUCCGGAUAGGUUUCAGUUCCAGGAUUGAACAUGGUAGGGUCCGGUUGUAAAAUCUUGGAACCGAUCCCUUAUAAGGUAGGGUUCGGGUAUCGUGAAAAAAAGGGUACCCGAAACCGAUCACCCCUAAUAUGGACAUCAAUCGCUCACAUGUCUUGAUA